Molecule: ribosomal RNA, 482 nt
Filed under: uncultured bacterium
Lineage: Bacteria
Description: partial 16S ribosomal RNA
Rfam family: Bacterial small subunit ribosomal RNA
Source: RNAcentral
GACGAACGCUGGCGGCGUGCUUAACACAUGCAAGUCGAACGAUGAAGAAGAGAAACGCGAACUUCGGUUCAAAUUUCACUUCGGAUUAGUGGCAGACGGGUGAGUAACGCGUGAGCAACCUACCUCUUACAAAGGGAUAGCCUCGGGAAACCGUGAUUAAUACCAUAUGACACAUUCAUAAGGCAUCUUAAGAAUGUUAAAGCUACGGCGGUAAGAGAUGGGCUCGCGUCCCAUUAGCUAGGUGGUGAGGUAACGGCCCACCAAGGCGACGAUGGGUAACCGGCCUGAGAGGGUGAACGGUCACAUUGGAACUGAGACACGGUCCAAACUCCUACGGGAGGCAGCAGUGGGGAAUAUUGCACAAUGGAGGGAACUCUGAUGCAGCGACGCCGCGUGAGCGAUGAAGGAAUUCGUUUCGUAAAGCUCUGUUCUAUGGGAAGAAAAGGACUUUACCAUAGGAGAAAGCCCCGGCUAAAUACGUG